Sapajus apella (tufted capuchin) is the source of this 107-nucleotide small nuclear RNA. NCBI's taxonomy places the organism in Eukaryota, Metazoa, Chordata, Mammalia, Primates, Cebidae. The record is from RefSeq and is a predicted model, not a curated record.
AUACUUGUUUCAGUAGUACAUAUUCUACAAUUGAAUCAUUACAGAACAGAUAAGUAUAUCUGCUGCCCAGGGAUGGCACACAAAUUCAUAAAGCAUUCCAUAUUUUG